GUGUCAGCAGCCGCGGUAAUACGGAGGAUCCGAGCGUUAUCCGGAUUUAUUGGGUUUAAAGGGUGCGUAGGUGGUUUGAUAAGUCAGCGGUGAAAGUUUGCAGCUUAACUGUAAAAAUGCCGUUGAAACUGUCGGACUUGAGUGUAAAUGAGGUAGGCGGAAUGCGUGGUGUAGCGGUGAAAUGCAUAGAUAUCACGCAGAACUCCGAUUGCGAAGGCAGCUUACUAAGCUACAACUGACACUGAAGCACGAAAGCGUGGGGAUCAAACAGGAUUAGAUACCCUGGUAGUCCACGCAGUAAACGAUGAUUACUAGCUGUUUGCGAUACACAGUAAGCGGCACAGCGAAAGCGUUAAGUAAUCCACCUGGGGAGUACGCCGGCAACGGUGAAACUCAAAGGAAUUGACGGGGGCCCGCACAAGCGGAGGAACAUGUGGUUUAAUUCGAUGAUACGCGAGGAACCUUACCCGGGUUUGAACGUAGGGAGACAGGAGUGGAAACAUUCUUUUCAGCAAUGACUGCCUACGAGGUGCUGCAUGGUUGUCGUCAGCUCGUGUCGUGAGAUGUUGGGUUAAGUCCCGCAACGAGCGCAACCCUUGCCUUUAGUUGCCAUCAUUAAGUUGGGCACUCUAGAGGGACUGCCGGUGACAAACCGGAGGAAGGUGGGGAUGACGUCAAAUCAUCAUGCCCCUUAUGUCCUGGGCUACACACGUGCUACAAUGGUCUGUACAGAGGGAAGCGAAGCAGCGAUGUGAAGCGAAUCCCAGAAAACAGAUCUCAGUUCGGAUCGGAGUCUGCAACUCGACUCCGUGAAGCUGGAUUCGCUAGUAAUCGCGCAUCAGCCAUGGCGCGGUGAAUACGUUCCCGGGCCUUGUACACACCGCCCGUCAAGCCAUGGGAGCCGGGGGUACCUGAAGUUCGUAACCGCAAGGAUCGACCUAGGGUAAAACUGGUGACUGGGGCUAAGUCGUAACAAGGUAACC
This 983-nucleotide ribosomal RNA is filed under the name uncultured Bacteroidota bacterium. RNAcentral's name for it is "bacterial SSU rRNA". It matches the Rfam family "Bacterial small subunit ribosomal RNA", at positions 505 to 1501 of the family's 1533-position model. Lineage: Bacteria; Pseudomonadati; Bacteroidota. The record is from RNAcentral.